CAGCCGCCGCGGUAAUACGUAGGUCCCGAGCGUUGUCCGGAUUUAUUGGGCGUAAAGCGAGCGCAGGCGGUUAGAUAAGUCUGAAGUUAAAGGCUGUGGCUUAACCAUAGUACGCUUUGGAAACUGUUUAACUUGAGUGCAAGAGGGGAGAGUGGAAUUCCAUGUGUAGCGGUGAAAUGCGUAGAUAUAUGGAGGAACACCGGUGGCGAAAGCGGCUCUCUGGCUUGUAACUGACGCUGAGGCUCGAAAGCGUGGGGCGCAAACAGGAUUAGAUACCCCAGUAGUCCCUGUCUCUUAUACA
Molecule: ribosomal RNA, 301 nt
Filed under: uncultured bacterium
Lineage: Bacteria
Description: partial 16S ribosomal RNA
Rfam family: Bacterial small subunit ribosomal RNA
Source: RNAcentral